AGACGCCCAAAUCCUCAUUUAUGGACCUCUGUGACAGGCUGAUGACAACCCUCAUCAGCAGAGACAUGGGAUUAGCAUUUACCAAUCAAUUCCAUCUGACAAGUGCAAGUGGGAUUUUGAACAGAGCCACUCGGCUUGUGUUGUGCGAGUCAACACUGGUGGCCUCAACCUUGGAGGAGAGAGAGGCCGCGAGGAGAAUUCAAACCUGAAGCCGCUGAUGUGUCUAUUAAACCACCAUCCCCAUCUCCUCGCAAUCACCACCAUUACCUCCAUGAUGUCUGGGGAGAAUGAACGUUUCCUUUAACCGCCUGCUGCCUACACUCCACCACCACCAGCAGCAUCUAGGCGCCGGGGGAUCCCACCUCGUCUCCUUCGUAUGGGCCUACAUUUAAUGAAGUUGCUCCACAUCGAUGGAGCAUAAUUGCUGAAAGUCAUUUGGGGGGGGGGUUCCAUCAAGAGUCUUUGAUCUGAUGACCUCAAGGAACGUGCUGGGCUCUAAAAGAUCCCAGACCAGCAGUCGUGUGUUGACAUUGAGGCCAGCUGUUCCAGUGCAUUCUCAUGUGAUUAAGAUGAGAGACGGGGUGGGACAGCAUAUCCUGGGCAAGGAUGAGACGAGGAAAGAUGGCUGUCAUUCCUCUCUGGGCCAGCACAAUACUUUAAUCACCUCACACCUGUCCUCCAUUUCAUCCCCCCAUUCCAGAUGCCUGACACAGCCCAAUCGAAACCUCAAGAUCAUUUAUUCAUCUCUCUGUAUUUUUUUUUUUUUGUCAUUUGCUCAAUUUUCUCCCGGCCUUCUGUGUCCUUCGUCCCGUCCGAUGUCCUUCGCUUUGCUUCCAUUGUGUUGUCCUCUUUAUUCAUAACUUAUUGACCAUAUCUGUGUCACUCCGUGUGUGUGUGUGUGUCUCAACAUGGUCCCUAUGAAGACAAAUGUGACCCUAAGGAUGCAGUCCAUGAUAUUCAUUCUCCAGCGAAAGUCAAUGUGCCGCCAGUGUAACCAGGACAGAUCCUCUCUCAAGUGGAGCUGGAGAGAAAAUGAGGAGGAGGAAAAGAAACACAGGCUCUAAAAAAGAAAAUCAUAUUUUUCUUCCACCAGUGAGUGAGAUAGUUGUGUGUUCAGCCAUGUAUGACCAGCGAGUCCUUGACAGAGAAGGGGAUUUUGUUUCAACAAGUCCUUUAAACCUGAACAACAACACGAGUGAUAUCAUUUCUACUAUCUACUCAAAUCAUAUCUCAAUGAUGGUUCACUAAAAAAAAAAUGUUAUAGUAGGUUAUACUUAUUAAAGGUAACUAGACAUUAGCAGAUCUUUACAAAGUUUGAUGGAGGUUUGUGACAGUUUAAAAUACAGUGUGUAGUAUUACUGUAAUAAAGUGAGUACAUGUAUAUAACUGGCACAGUAAAGGAGAGUCAUCUGUAAUGGGUGUUGUGUCCAUUUGGGCCUAUUUUUGUCAUCAUAGGUUGUUUCAAUCAGUUGAGUUGUACAGACUACACAACAAAACGUGUGUGUGUGUGCGCACACACAUGGCCAUUCAUUCUGCUGUGACAGUAAUUCAGAGGGAUUGUAUUGAUUGUCCCUGAUGGACACUGAGAUAUCAAGCAGGACACUUGUCUCUGUCUUUUUCUUUUCGCUCUCUCCCUCUCUCUCUCACACACACACACACAGUGUCUAGAGAAGCCACUUCAGGGAAUAGAAAUAGAAAGUAAGCACAUAGUUAAGUGAUUAACCGACAGUUUCUUGUGUCUGCGAGUCUCGCCCCAGUAAAGUCCACCAUGUCUUAAUGACUGAAAAGGGAAUCCAGCGACAGCUCACUUCAUCACUGUCCUGCAGUGGCCUAAAGAAUGUUUCCUCCUCAUCCUCAUCACUACAUCUUCUCCUCCACCGCUCUGGUGCAUCUGGUGGCUUGUUCUUUCAAGUAUCCUCUGACAAAUUCCCUUCAUCAAAUGAAGCAAAUGUUUUUUUCAUUCGAUUUGCAUUUCUUCCAUGCAGUCAUGCAAUGUACAACUUUCCAUUAUGACUCCGUGACUCCAACUUAUCUAUCCGGAACUUUGAGGUGCAGUGGAAACUCAAACCACACAGAUUACCAGUCAUUCCUUUCCCCCGGUAAAUAAGUUCCUGGUACUAAAGGUUCUUGGAAAUGUCGUCUGAACUUCUCAUGCACAUAGAAUGCACAGGUAUGUUCAGACCUCACCUACAUCACUUGCUCAUUAUGCUGAAACGGCUCUUUGAUUGGCCUUUAAAUAGAUCAUUUUUGACCCCCUCAUAGAUGUUUGGUAGCGUAGCCAGCUGUCUCCUCUGCCUGCCAGUGAGAGCGCGGGUGCUCUCAGGUGUCUGUGCUUAUUGCCGGUCUGCCUGUUUGCUCUCAAUCUGUCAGUGCUGUGGCCAUUCUGGCAAGAAAGGGAGUGAAAUAGCAAGAGACCAUAGCGUUGUGUGUGUGUGCGUGUGUGUGUGUGUGUGUUCCUAGUGAGGGUGUCAGCAUGGCACAUCAUCCUUCAGGCAGAACCACAACAGGACCCAUCUGCCAGCCAAAACAGAGGGACUGAUCAGAGCAAUCCUGAUACAGAUUGCCACAAACACCACUCCCCUCCCUUUAAUAAGCCUCGUCUUCUCCUCGACAUCUUGCCCCGUAUCAGUUGUGUUGUCACUCUCCUUUGCUCACCUCAUCCUUAACCCCCCUCUGCUCAUCAUCUUUACAUUUGGGUUCUCAUUUCAGCCUCAUUUGAGAGCAGCGAGUUGUCCAGCUGUCUCAUGCUUAACCUUAUCUACAACCAACCAAACAACUGUCUACAAAUGUUGUGUAGAUGUUU
Solea senegalensis (Senegalese sole) is the source of this 2803-nucleotide long non-coding RNA. RefSeq lists it as uncharacterized. The transcript is spliced from 3 exons. The record is from RefSeq and is a predicted model, not a curated record. NCBI's taxonomy places the organism in Eukaryota, Metazoa, Chordata, Actinopteri, Pleuronectiformes, Soleidae.